UUCCUGGUAUACAUGUAUGGAUGAGAUUUAAGAAUGCAAGUUCUUGGUAUUGCAAUUCUCACUUAGUCCAAUGUAUCUAAACCGAGAAAUAAGUUCUGAAUUGUAAUCAUUUUUGAAUUUACUGUAUAUUAAAUUGUAGAAAUAACCUUUGCAUUAAAAUUUCCCAGUUCAGGAAAGUAAAGCUUUAGUCUUUUUUUCUGUUUGAUUUUCACUAGUACAUUGUAUGUUGGUGCCCUUUAUACAUUGUUAUAGCUUGCAGUUCGGUGUAAGCCAAUGCUAAUGUUGAAGGUUGUAUCUUGACCAAUUAUUGUUUAAUUUGUACACAUUGUGAAAUGGAUGGAGAGUUGUCUAUUUGGCACUCUUACCACAUCUUCUUAUUCUCUUUAGAGCUAAUUUCCUAAUGCAUGUAGAUUAAGACUUUGGUUGGCUUGCUUGCUUUGUUUGUAUGAAGUUGAAUUUGAUUAUCAGAUAAU
Molecule: long non-coding RNA, 473 nt
Filed under: Mytilus galloprovincialis (Mediterranean mussel)
Lineage: Eukaryota; Metazoa; Mollusca; Bivalvia; Mytilida; Mytilidae
Source: RNAcentral